Phoenix dactylifera (date palm) is the source of this 2189-nucleotide non-coding RNA. The record is from RefSeq and is a predicted model, not a curated record. Lineage: Eukaryota; Viridiplantae; Streptophyta; Magnoliopsida; Arecales; Arecaceae.
AGGGUUUUUCCCUUACCUGAACGAAACCCUCAUUUCUGGAAUGAUCUACAAAAGGAGUGGUGGGGAGCGGCGAAGCGUCUCCUUGGGCCGGACGACGAUUUGAGGAAUGAAUCAUAGCCACAAGUUUAAACGCCGAUUCCAAUUUAAGAGCUUCAAAUUCCCUCUGUUUUCCCUCUUCCCCAGUUCCUUUCUCGAUCUUGGGUUAGGGUUUGGUUUCUUCUCCUCUUCUCCAUGGAGAAUCCUAUCCUGAGGCUGGUCGUGGAGAAUGGCCCGAAGGAGGGCGAGAUGCUGGAGUGCAAGCCCGGAGCCCGCACCCGCAUUGGCCGUGUCGUGAAGGGCAAUACCUUCGCCAUCCGGGACCCCGGUGUCUCCCAAAAGCACCUCGCCUUCGAGUUUCUCCGCGAGACCUCCCGGUGGGUCGUCUCCGACCUCGAUACUUCCAAUGGCACCAUCGUCAACGAUGCCAAUAUCCGGCCCUCCAUCCCGUUCCCCCUCUCCGACGGCGAUUCCAUCAAGAUCGGCGAGACGACCUCCAUCUCCGUCAGGAUCGCUGGAGAAGAGCCCCAUAUUGAUGCGGCGGCGGCGGAGGGGGAGGAGAGGACUGGGGUGCGGCGGCAAGGGAGGCGGAGGGGAGCGCCUCCGGCCAGACCUGGGGCCGAGCGGCCCUCGGAUGCGACCGUGGACGUGGGCAGUGAAGCGCUGGCGAUAAAUGGUGGGAGGGCGAGAGGGAGAUCGAGGAAGACUGCUGCUUCUGCUACGGUUCCGAAGAAAGAUGAUAUCUUGGAUGCGGUGUUGGAGGAGGAGAGUGCUGAAGCGCUGAAGAAUGCAGGGAAGGGGAGAGGGAGAAGAAGGCCUGCGAUGAGGGCUGCUUCUGCUAGGGUUUCAAAGGAGGAGGAGGAAGAUGAGGAGGUGAGGCCGCUGGGUUUAGUUCCGGUGUCUAAUUUGGAGUCUGUAGAAGCUGCUGCAAAGGGGGAUAUUUUGAGGCUGGAAGCUAGUAAAUCUUGUGAAGCGUUGAAAUUGGCUGAGAGUGGAGCAGGGGAGGUGAGGCAAGAGGAGGGAGAAGAAAAUAUGGAUAAGAUGACGCUAGGGGACUGGUUUGAUCGGAUGGAGAAGUCCUCGCCCCUGAUGAUUAAUGAUAUAUCUGAGGAAAUCAUUUCAAGCUUGAGGGACAAAGCUUGGCGGUUCGAUGAUUUCGUAGCUCAAAGUGUGCAUGCCGGCUAAUUCACAUGGAUAGCAGCCAACUCAUGGUGAUUCUGUGAAGGUUCUUGACAUGCUUCUCCAGCUGGCUUGGUUAACUUAACAAUCAGAGGCAUUGAAUAAGAAUUGUUGCAUGCGUUUGGGUUGGAACUAUAGAUUCUUGUUUCCAAUUCUACAUAGAACAUCCACAAACUUAUUGAAAAGCAGGAUUGAUCAUUUCAAUUAGUACUAUGUUAGAGGAAGGCAAGUCAUAAUCAAACAGUAAUUCUUAUUGGUGGACCUAUCUCUGACUGAUAAUUGGAAGGAAAUGUAAAUACAGUUAAGAAGGAUCAAGAAAUCCUACAAUAUUUCAGGCAGCAUUUAUUCUUUUUGCGACAUGAUGAUUACAUGCAAUAAAAUUCAUAGCAAUAGAUGUUGCGGUUUUGGUUUGCCUAGGACACUACUUGAGAGGUAUAAUACAAUAGGUCUGGAGAUUCCUUUUUCAACUAAAAUGCAUCUUGGGCUUCUCUCAAAAGUGGAGCAAACUUCCACCAAUCUCCACUACUGCAGACAUCCAUCUAGAAGUGAACCAAUUCAUACUUGGCUGGUAACUGUUCCUAUAUUACACGCUUCUUUUUCUUUGUUUUAGUGUUUUCACAGGCAUAGAUCUUUAAAAAGUACUUUUUGCCGUUUUCCUUUCUACAUCAAAUUCGCAUAAAGCUAUCUUUCAUUAGACAGCAGCAGCAGCUUCUAAGCUGCAGCUUGGCAAGUGGCAAGUCAAUGUUCCCAAUCUCUUAGUCCAAUCAAGAUUGAGAUGAAGCUAACUAAUUUAGUGAUCCCUAUAUGAUUUUCUUCCGGGCAUACAUCAGAAAUUUCCUUUUCUUGAAAUCAUAACCCAUAGAUUUCACAUAAGACCAUGUCCAGUUCAUUCAACAUGGACAAAUUCCACUUCAAGGGUUCACGAAUUUUGAUUUCAUACUUCUGAUCUGAUUCAAAGACCAACCUACAAAACU